UUGUGAGAAUAAUGUGUUAGUUUAUUGUGACUCGAGCUGUGAGGAAAUAGUCUGCUCCCAAGGUUGAGGGGAAGUGUCACAGGAGGUGAGUGGAGGGAAGGGUAGUUUGGGGACACGGUGGGGCUGAGACUGGCAGGAGCGGAGGCCCGGGCAGAACACUGCAGGGCGUCACGAGGCAUUGAGAAAGCCCUGCCUGGUGCCCGCUGCUUGGCACAGUACCUGGCACGGAGCAGGUGCUCCAAGCGUUGUGGAGCAAAUGGACCCUGCUCGGAAGCAGAGCCAGGCAGGAGCCGGCACCGGUACAGUGAUUGGAGGUGAGAGGGCGCCGAAGAAGCACUUGACCUACUUGUUCACUUUGUUCCAGCAGGUGCUGACAGCCGAGCCAUUCCACACACCUUUGGGGCAGAGAACUGCAGGCCACCAGGGCCAACUUCAGAGCCUGGAUAUUGUUUCCAAGGCUGGAAGGGGAGACCUGGGGGGCCGCUUGCAGGUUGUGCAAGCCGCAGAUCAGCGUGCGAGCCACCCGUGACGCCCUAAGCCUGGGACCUGUCGGAGUUGCACAACCCUUAGGCAGGAGCACUUGUUCAGUGUUGCGGCACGACUCCACGUCUUUAUAAAAAACGCGAACUGUCCACCCAGCACAUACUCAGAGGACACGAAAGCUCUUUGCCACCAGGUGGUUAAGGCUGCUUGGUCGGGUGACAGCAGAGACAGGCAGGACCUACUGUAGCUCUUGGCCUGGGAGGCCGAACACUCAGUACCUUGUACCCUGCUGGCCGUGGGCAGCAAAGGCGUCUGAUAAAAUGUACUUUUUUUGUGCUCUUGUUUUUCCUGGCAGUCUCAUUUUGGGUUAUAAAUGGCUCAUUAUUUCCAUCCGAUAGAUCCACUCUUGCCGCAGUUACAUUCUCUUCUGUGCUUUCUGAAAUGAUGGAAAGGGCUGUAAAAUCAUCCCUGGCGAGCCCUGCGUGUCCUGACCUUGAACAGAGGCUGGGUUUCCACAGCGCUCACCCCAUCUACAGCUGAUUCCGUGUGCGAGAGGCUGGCUGGGAAAGGCUCCCGAAAGUGGGGGAUAUAAUUAUAUUUACACUAAAGCACUUGGUGCCACUGGAUACCAGGAAGUGGCGUGGACCUCCCUCUCCCUCCAGCCCUGCAACCUUUUCAGAGGACACUGGGCAAUCGUCAGAGGUUAUAAAGUUGGAACAGCAUUGCCCCCAGAUAGAUGCCCUCAGCUCAGUUUCUGUACAGGACAGCUUGGAGGCAAGUUUUAUUAAGUAUCAAGUAGCUGACCCACAGCAGUAUAAAUAGCGAGAGAACAUUUGACAGGCCCAGAAAUGAAUGUGGCUGAAACCCCAGGCUGACGACGUGGACUGUGUUUACUGUUCCCAGCACCUGCACGGAGAAGUCUGCCCAGCGAUGGUGCAGGAGCGGUGCCUGGCCAGAUAAACGGAGGGGCGGGGGCUCGGGCUUAGAAAAUGUGUCUCUUGCUUUUGAAAGCCAUGGAACAUGUAGUUAAACCAGGCAACGGCCUGAGGAGAGGUUGGAGGGGAUUAAGUGCAUUCGGAAGGAGAGACUGGUCCUUAUUACACUUCCCCAGGUGAGCCAGGUGAGAGCUGGGAGCACGGCUUGUAUCUGGCAGCAACUGUAAGCACUCACAAACGGUCAGAUGCGACCUCACAUUGGAAUUCUUCAAGGGAAACAUUGAAGGCAUUUUUACUCGUGUGCACUUUCCCUGCUGUCCCUUAUUUUUACUAAGUGUAUUGCCUCGUGUAAAUUGUUCUCUAGUGACACUGAUCAGGACAUAGCACUGACUUAGGAGAGACCAUCCAGCUGUCUGUUAUAACGUGUAUCUAGAAUGUCCUCUCAAAGUCUCAUGUGUUCAGAGGUAGGGGUUUUGGAAGGCAAUUAGAUCUUGGUAGCACUAACCUUAUCAAUGGAUAAAUCCAUUGCUAAUUUCAUAGCGAAUGUACUGUUAAGAGGUGGGGCUUGGUUGGAAAAGUAGGUCCUUGGGGGCAGGUCUUUGAAGGCUGUGUCCUGUGCCCAGCCCCUCUCCCUCUUUGGCUCUUCCUACAAAGUGAAUUGAACGGUUUUCCUCUACUAUACCCCUCCACCAUGAUGUUUUUUGCCUUGGAACCAGCUGACCAUGGACUGAAACCUCUGAAGCUGUGAGCCUAAGUAAUCCCUUGCUUUUUUGGGGUGUGGAUGUCAGGUAUUUUUAUCCCAGCAACAAAGUGAGCUGACCAACACACUGUCCAAGGACAGCCUCCUAUACUAGCCGCUACCCUCAGUCUUCUGCUGACACCUGGGAAGAUCAUCGUGUGAUUCGGCAAGGGGGUGGUGCCAGGCAGCAUGGUAUAAAUUGGAUGUAGAAUGAAAUUUAUUGAACAUUUUUCCUCAGACACACCAAAUUCCCCGGGUGUUCCUGGCCUUCCCUGCCACCCACAGCUCACGCAUACUUUGUACGGGAAGACUUCUUUCAAAUCUCAAUCCCAAAAAUGUCUUCAAGGGUGGCAGUAUUGCUAUUGCCUGACAGCGGCCACCUCACUGUAUUACUUCUGUGUGUUUAUUAACAGUCAGUGUUUUUUCUUUGUACCUAGAAUGAAAAUGUAAAAGGCCAUAUAGGCUGUCAGAAGCCAGGGAGACUACAGGGGCCUGACGCAAAGAGCUCUUCCCAGAGGACACUGGGAGAGGAUGGGCUGCAGCCAGUGAGCUUUCCCCAUUCAUCUCACUCCCAAAGGCUCCCCCAUCUAAGUUUUCACUCUCUGCUUCUUCUUUGGAAAAACAACUUCAGUGUGGCAAUGCACCAGGCUAAAAGACUACAUUUCCCAGCUUCCCUUGCUGUAGGGGGUGGUAAAAGAAAUCUAAGGAGAUAUUUUUGGAUGGUCAGGAUUGCCAAACAAAUACAGGGCACCAGUUAAAAUUAAAUUUCGGUAAGCAAUGAAUAAUAUGAAUAUACAUGUGAAUAUGUCUCAUGUAAUAUAUUUAUGCAUUUUUAUUUGACAAAUCUGCCAUCUCUAUGCUCAGGGCUCCCAGGAAUCAUGGUAGACAUGUCUAUCUUUUUUCUCCUUUCUCUUCUUUCCUAGGGCAUGGGUAGGGCGGCUAUGGUUUCUGCAGUCACCUUGAGUCACGAGGCUAAGGGUAACAAAAGAGAAAGCAGAGAACCUGGGUCCCUAAUGGAUGCACACUGUAUGUAUAAGAAUAAAUCACUGAUUUGCUAUAGCUACUAGCUGUGCUGCUGUGAUUUUUUAAAUCUGAUUUCUAGACCUACUAUGAUGUAGCUACAGUGAAGAAUGCGUUGUUAUUUUUUCUAUUUGCUUCAAUCCAUUUACCGUGUGUCAGUUUGCUUUUCUCUCUUUUGUAUCAUAAACCACUCUACUUUUACUGACUAUGUUUUUGAGGACCCCAAGAGAGGUGAGUAAUAUUCUCUACAUCCCUUUGAAUGGUGUCUUUAACAUGUGCUUCUACAUGGUGGUAUUGGCUAUUUUGCAGAUUGCAUUUGUAUAUUACAAGUAAUCAUUUCCAAUAAUAAUAUUUAAUGAUAAUAACAAUAAUGAUAAUAUUCCUAAACCACAAUGGUUCUUAACUGGCCUCAAAACUAAAAUCCUGUGAUAUUCUGAAACUGUAGAAUUAUACUUCCAAAAUAAUAUUGAUGGCUUCCCUGACAUUCUAUAAAGUUUAGCUAAGGAGAGUCUUGUGCCCAGGG
Molecule: long non-coding RNA, 3700 nt
Filed under: Chinchilla lanigera (long-tailed chinchilla)
Lineage: Eukaryota; Metazoa; Chordata; Mammalia; Rodentia; Chinchillidae
Description: lncRNA (ENSCLAG00000023096.1)
Source: RNAcentral